ACGCUCGACACCUACGGAGGCAGCAGUGGGGAAUAUUGCACAAUGGGGGAAACCCUGAUGCAGCGACGCCGCGUGAGUGAAGAAGUAUUUCGGUAUGUAAAGCUCUAUCAGCAGGGAAGAAGAUGACGGUACCUGAGUAAGAAGCCCCGGCUAACUACGUGCCAGCAGCCGCGGUAAUCUGAGCGGGCUGGCAAGGC
This 197-nucleotide ribosomal RNA is filed under the name uncultured bacterium. RNAcentral describes it as "partial 16S ribosomal RNA". It matches the Rfam family "Bacterial small subunit ribosomal RNA", at positions 328 to 539 of the family's 1533-position model. The record is from RNAcentral.